This 492-nucleotide ribosomal RNA is filed under the name uncultured bacterium. Its description in RNAcentral is "partial 16S ribosomal RNA". It matches the Rfam family "Bacterial small subunit ribosomal RNA", at positions 29 to 507 of the family's 1533-position model. The record is from RNAcentral.
AGUGAACGCUGGCGGUAGGCCUAACACAUGCAAGUCGAACGGCAGCACAGUAAGAGCUUGCUCUUACGGGUGGCGAGUGGCGGACGGGUGAGGAAUACAUCGGAAUCUACUUUUUCGUGGGGGGUAACGUAGGGAAACUUACGCUAAUACCGCAUACGACAUACGGGUGAAAGCAGGGGAUCUUCGGACCUUGCGCGAUUGAAUGAGCCGAUGUCGGAUUAGCUAGUUGGCGGGGUAAAGGCCCACCAAGGCGACGAUCCGUAGCUGGUCUGAGAGGAUGAUCAGCCACACUGGAACUGAGACACGGUCCAGACUCCUACGGGAGGCAGCAGUGGGGAAUAUUGGACAAUGGGCGCAAGCCUGAUCCAGCCAUACCGCGUGGGUGAAGAAGGCCUUCGGGUUGUAAAGCCCUUUUGUUGGGAAAGAAAAGCAGCAGGUUAAUACCCCGCUGUUCUGACGGUACCCAAAGAAUAAGCACCGGCUAACUUCGUG